This 253-nucleotide ribosomal RNA is filed under the name uncultured bacterium. RNAcentral describes it as "partial 16S ribosomal RNA". It matches the Rfam family "Bacterial small subunit ribosomal RNA", at positions 524 to 776 of the family's 1533-position model. The record is from RNAcentral.
UACGUAGGGCGCAAGCGUUAUCCGGAAUUAUUGGGCGUAAAGAGCUCGUAGGCGGUUUGUCGCGUCUGCCGUGAAAGUCCGGGGCUCAACUCCGGAUCUGCGGUGGGUACGGGCAGACUAGAGUGAUGUAGGGGAGACUGGAAUUCCUGGUGUAGCGGUGAAAUGCGCAGAUAUCAGGAGGAACACCGAUGGCGAAGGCAGGUCUUUGGGCAUUAACUGACGCUGAGGAGCGAAAGCAUGGGGAGCGAACAGG